This 486-nucleotide ribosomal RNA is filed under the name uncultured bacterium. RNAcentral describes it as "partial 16S ribosomal RNA". It matches the Rfam family "Bacterial small subunit ribosomal RNA", at positions 30 to 507 of the family's 1533-position model. The record is from RNAcentral.
AUUGAACGCUGGCGGCAUGCCUUACACAUGCAAGUCGAACGGCAGCACGGGUGCUUGCACCUGGUGGCGAGUGGCGAACGGGUGAGUAAUACAUCGGAACAUGUCCUGUAGUGGGGGAUAGCCCGGCGAAAGCCGGAUUAAUACCGCAUACGAUCUACGGAUGAAAGCGGGGGACCUUCGGGCCUCGCGCUAUAGGGUUGGCCGAUGGCUGAUUAGCUAGUUGGUGGGGUAAAGGCCUACCAAGGCGACGAUCAGUAGCUGGUCUGAGAGGACGACCAGCCACACUGGGACGGAGACACGGCCCAGACUCCUACGGGAGGCAGCAGUGGGGAAUUUUGGACAAUGGGCGAAAGCCUGAUCCAGCAAUGCCGCGUGUGUGAAGAAGGCCUUCGGGUUGUAAAGCACUUUUGUCCGGAAAGAAAUCCUUGGCUCUAAUACAGUCGGGGGAUGACGGUACCGGAAGAAUAAGCACCGGCUAACUACGUG